UACGAAGGGUGCAAGCGUUACUCGGAAUUACUGGGCGUAAAGCGUGCGUAGGUGGUUUGUUAAGUCUGAUGUGAAAGCCCUGGGCUCAACCCGGGAAGUGCGCUCGAAACUGCGCGGCUCGAGUGCCGGAGGGGAGAGUGGAAUUCCUGGUGUAGCGGUGAAAUGCGUAGAUAUCAGGAGGAAUACCGGUGGCGAAAGCGACUCUCUGGACGGCAACUGACGCUGAGGCACGAAAGCGUGGGGAGCAAACAGG
Molecule: ribosomal RNA, 253 nt
Filed under: uncultured bacterium
Lineage: Bacteria
Description: partial 16S ribosomal RNA
Rfam family: Bacterial small subunit ribosomal RNA
Source: RNAcentral